RNAcentral lists this small RNA (30 nucleotides) under Bombyx mori (domestic silkworm). Its description in RNAcentral is "ovarian small RNA-28349". Lineage: Eukaryota; Metazoa; Arthropoda; Insecta; Lepidoptera; Bombycidae. The record is from RNAcentral.
UCGAGAAAGAACGCGGCCGGGUACAGGCGC